UACGGAGGGUGCGAGCGUUGUCCGGAAUCAUUGGGCGUAAAGGGCGCGUAGGUGGCCCAGUAAGCGUGCGGUGAAAGCUCGGGGCUCAACCCCGGGUCUGCCGUGCGAACUACUGGGCUGGAGCACUGUAGAGGCAGGCGGAAUUCCGGGUGUAGCGGUGGAAUGCGUAGAGAUCCGGAAGAACACCGGUGGCGAAGGCGGCCUGCUGGGCAGUUGCUGACACUGAGGCGCGACAGCGUGGGGAGCAAACAGG
Molecule: ribosomal RNA, 253 nt
Filed under: uncultured bacterium
Lineage: Bacteria
Description: partial 16S ribosomal RNA
Rfam family: Bacterial small subunit ribosomal RNA
Source: RNAcentral